UACGAAGGGGGCUAGCGUUGCUCGGAAUUACUGGGCGUAAAGGGCGCGUAGGCGGAUAGUUUAGUCAGAGGUGAAAGCCCAGGGCUCGACCUUGGAAUUGCCUUUGAUACUGGCUAUCUUGAGUUCGGGAGAGGUGAGUGGAAUGCCGAGUGUAGAGGUGAAAUUCGUAGAUAUUCGGCGGAACACCAGUGGCGAAGGCGACUCACUGGCCCGAUACUGACGCUGAGGCGCGAAAGCGUGGGGAGCAAACAGG
This 253-nucleotide ribosomal RNA is filed under the name uncultured bacterium. Its description in RNAcentral is "partial 16S ribosomal RNA". It matches the Rfam family "Bacterial small subunit ribosomal RNA", at positions 524 to 776 of the family's 1533-position model. The record is from RNAcentral.